RNAcentral lists this transfer RNA (84 nucleotides) under Candidatus Eisenbergiella intestinipullorum. RNAcentral's name for it is "tRNA-Leu". It matches the Rfam family "tRNA". Rfam says of the family: Transfer RNA (tRNA) molecules are approximately 80 nucleotides in length. Their secondary structure includes four short double-helical elements and three loops (D, anti-codon, and T loops). The record is from RNAcentral. Lineage: Bacteria; Bacillati; Bacillota; Clostridia; Lachnospirales; Lachnospiraceae.
GCUGGUAUGGUGGAAUAGGCAGACACAAAGGACUUAAAAUCCUUCGGGAGCGAUCCCGUGCCGGUUCAAGUCCGGCUACCAGCA